GGGCGCAUAGCGCAGUGGUAGCGCGUCCGCUUUGCAAGCGGAAGGCCCCGGGUUCAAUCCCCGGUGUAUCCA
This 72-nucleotide transfer RNA is filed under the name Phytophthora infestans T30-4. RNAcentral's name for it is "tRNA-Ala for anticodon AGC". It matches the Rfam family "tRNA". From Rfam's summary of the family: Transfer RNA (tRNA) molecules are approximately 80 nucleotides in length. Their secondary structure includes four short double-helical elements and three loops (D, anti-codon, and T loops). Lineage: Eukaryota; Oomycota; Peronosporomycetes; Peronosporales; Peronosporaceae. The record is from Rfam by way of RNAcentral.